GUCACUCCAGCCGACUCUGCCAGGUUAAGCCAAGGCAAUCAAUCAAUUCAGGUGAUGACUUCUGAAUCACUUGUUUUUGAGUUGUUGCAUACCAAGGAUGAUUAGAGUAAAGAAAAAUUUGCAGUUCGUGUGGCUAAGAGAGAAGAAUGGAAGGACGACUGCAGAAUUGACCAGCUUAAAGUAAGAGGAUAGGUUUUGUACUCUUGUUUAUUUGAUCGUCUGGAAGACGGAAGAUGCCGAUCAGACGACAGUUCAUACGGAUGGAUAUUUCAUCGGCUGCCAGUUGUGCUGUGUCAGCAACAAGCUGAUUUAUCUUUUACCUGGAUAGCUGCAUCUGAGAAGCUAGAUGGCAUUUUAAAAUUGGCACUGAU
This 371-nucleotide long non-coding RNA is filed under the name Oryza sativa (Asian cultivated rice). Its description in RNAcentral is "long non-coding RNA (OSAT_LNC001011)". Lineage: Eukaryota; Viridiplantae; Streptophyta; Magnoliopsida; Poales; Poaceae. The record is from RNAcentral.